AUACACCAGUACACUUUUCAUUCUAUGGUGUGUCAAGGUAGUCGCGAGAACGAGGCUGAACAUUUUGACGAGUAAACAAAUCAAAUUCUAUUUAUUCAUUUUAAUCCUAACUGAAGCCAUUACGUAUGUCAUCAAGUGGUUAAAUAUAGAGAUCCAUACACAAAUAUAAUUUAUCAAAUCACACUCCUUUCAAAGAUGUAUGGGACAACAAUUUUUGUGACAGGAGGAGCAGGAUAUGUUGGAUCUCACACAGUGUUGGUGUUAUUAAAUGCUGGUUAUGAAGUAGUCGUAGUGGACAAUCUUAUUAAUGCUGUACCUGGUAAAGAUGGUUUCUUGCCUGAAAGUUUAAGAAGGGUACAAGAGUUAACAGGAAAAUCUCUGACAUUCUAUAAAGUGGACUUGUUGGAUAAAGAAGGUCUGGAAAACAUCUUUUGUAAGCAUAAACUUGAAUAUGUCAUUCACUUUGCUGCUCUAAAGGCUGUUGGGGAGUCCUGCCAAAUUCCACUGGAUUACUACCAUAAUAAUAUUAAUGGGACAAUCAGUUUACUAGAGGUGAUGAAGAAGUUCAAUGUUAAGAAGAUUAUUUUCUCCAGCUCAGCUACAGUAUAUGGCGUUCCUCAGUAUCUUCCACUAGAUGAAAAACAUCCAGUAGGAACAAACUGUACCAAUCCGUAUGGUAGAACCAAGUAUUUUAUUGAAGAAGUUUUGAGAGACAUUUCUGUUGCUGAAAAGAGAUGGAACAUUAUUCUUCUGAGAUAUUUUAAUCCAGUUGGGGCACAUGAUUCUGGCCAAAUUGGUGAAGACCCACAAGGAAUUCCUAACAAUCUGAUGCCAUAUAUCUCUCAGGUUGCUGUUGGACGACGUCAUGAAGUACAAGUAUUUGGAAAAGAUUUCAGAACCCCUGAUGGUACAGCGAAAAAAGAAAAGAAGACCAAGUAGAUAAUGUCUGUUCUGCGUGAGAGAGUAUUGCAGUAUCAUACAGUAUCUGGGUUGAAAGCAUUAGUAACUACAAUAUCGUUUACUCUGAAAAUGAUGUUAUCCAAAUGUAGCAGCUGACUAAUGCUGUGAGAGAACAAAGGUCACAAGGAGAUGCUGUCAUCAGGACAGAGAAACACAGUUUACCUGUUGAAUUCAGGAAUGAGGGAUUAUAUACAUGUACUAGACCUAGCAGAAGGUCAUGUGGCUGCUUUGAAAAAACUUGAUGAAAUAAAAGGAUGUAUGCUAUAUAUUAUGCAGGUUCU
This 1241-nucleotide unclassified non-coding RNA is filed under the name Limulus polyphemus (Atlantic horseshoe crab). RNAcentral describes it as "uDP-glucose 4-epimerase-like, transcript variant X5". The record is from RNAcentral. Lineage: Eukaryota; Metazoa; Arthropoda; Merostomata; Xiphosura; Limulidae.